This 71-nucleotide transfer RNA is filed under the name Camelus dromedarius (Arabian camel). It matches the Rfam family "tRNA". From Rfam's summary of the family: Transfer RNA (tRNA) molecules are approximately 80 nucleotides in length. RNAcentral also lists the same sequence under 1 other name. The record is from Rfam by way of RNAcentral. Lineage: Eukaryota; Metazoa; Chordata; Mammalia; Artiodactyla; Camelidae.
GAGGGUAUAGCUCAGUGGUAGAGUGUAUGCUUAGCAUGCAUGAGGUCCUGGGUUCAAUCCCCAGUACCUCA